AUUGAACGCUGGCGGCAUGCUUUACACAUGCAAGUCGAACGGCAGCGCGGGCUUCGGCCUGGCGGCGAGUGGCGAACGGGUGAGUAAUGCAUCGGAACGUGCCCAGUAGUGGGGGAUAGCCCGGCGAAAGCCGGAUUAAUACCGCAUACGACCUGAGGGUGAAAGCGGGGGACCGAAAGGCCUCGCGCUAUUGGAGCGGCCGAUGUCGGAUUAGCUAGUUGGUGGGGUAAAGGCUUACCAAGGCGACGAUCCGUAGCUGGUCUGAGAAGACGACCAGCCACACUGGGACUGAGACACGGCCCAGACUCCUACGGGAGGCAGCAGUGGGGAAUUUUGGACAAUGGGGGCAACCCUGAUCCAGCCAUGCCGCGUGCGGGAAGAAGGCCUUCGGGUUGUAAACCGCUUUUGUUCGGGAAGAAAUACUCUGGGCUAAUACCCCGGGGGGAUGACGGUACCGGAAGAAUAAGCACCGGCUAACUACGUG
RNAcentral lists this ribosomal RNA (484 nucleotides) under uncultured bacterium. RNAcentral's name for it is "partial 16S ribosomal RNA". It matches the Rfam family "Bacterial small subunit ribosomal RNA", at positions 29 to 507 of the family's 1533-position model. The record is from RNAcentral.